CACUCACAAAUCUUGAGAUCAUGACCUGAGCCGAAGUCUGGCACUUGACCGAGUCACCCAGGCGUCCCUCUGAAAAUAUACAUUUGAGAACAUAUGUGAUUAUCUCCUUAGGAUACACUCCUACCUGUAUGGCUUAGUGCUGUAAGCAUGAACCUCUUGAUUUCACCUCAGCUUAUGAUCUCCGGGUUCCUGAGACCCAGCCUGGCAUCCGACUGCUUGGGAUUCUGUCUCCUCUCUCUCUCUGCCCCUCUCCCCGCUCCUGCGUGCACUCUUUCUCAUUUUUCUCAAAAUAAAUAAAUAAAUUAUUUUUUAAAAAGGAUAAACUCUUAAAAGAGAAUGUCUAUGUCACAGUAUCAGCACACUUCAAUUGUGGAGACAUUUUGCAGAACCCUUGAAAAUUUUUAUACCAGUCUUCACUCCCAUUAUCCUUUAUGACAGUGUAUUUUCCCGACCCUCUGUUGGACACUCUCAUCACCUACUUUCACCUUUGCCAAGUUGAAGAUACUAAGUUUUAUACCCAUUUUUAUUCUGUUGGAGAACAAGAAGCAGGAGGCACCUUAAGAAUGUCUGGAAGGAAAGGGACAGAACAGCAAGAAACUGAAAACAGUUCCAUUCACAGGACAGAAGGAUGCCGGGACUGCUUGCUCUCUCCAGAAGGAUAUAAUACCGGCAUCAGGCCUGGGAUAAGAAUGUUUUGUCUGGUGCCAGAUGUACUUAUGACCCAGUAUGGAAUACCCUGCAGGUGCACGGCCUGUCAAGAUGCCAAAUACUACGUUGUAUGUGCUCGCUGUUAUCAGACAAUUUGCAAAAAUAAAAGAGGCUUGAGCCAGGAGACCAGUGCUUCGGCUCCUGGAGAGUCAACCCCCUGCUGACUCAUGGCACCUUCAGGCCCUGUCUCUCUACAGCUGGCGCCAGAACAGGGACCUGAAGGUGGACAUUUGCCACACUGCUGAAGAAGUGCCACAGGAACCGAAGGGAACUUUGGAGCUGGGAAGUUCAGCCUUCGGGAUUUCUGCAGGGUGUAGCUGCCCUGUCACAUCCUGUUACAGUAUCAGUGACUGUUCCUCAUGCUGUGCCUUCUAUUCCCGUCACUUCUUCAUUCCCUAACUGGAGCCUGUGUUCCCGCUCCCCCUUACCCGCUGUCCCAACCCCCACACUCUCCUUUCUGGCAACUAACUCAGAUGUUCAUUUACUGUAUGAUAAUACGUGUGAAUAAAAAGUGUCCUGAAGUAAA
This is a long non-coding RNA of Felis catus (domestic cat), 1234 nucleotides long. RefSeq lists it as uncharacterized. The record is from RefSeq and is a predicted model, not a curated record. NCBI's taxonomy places the organism in Eukaryota, Metazoa, Chordata, Mammalia, Carnivora, Felidae. The transcript is spliced from 2 exons.